Cynoglossus semilaevis (tongue sole) is the source of this 828-nucleotide long non-coding RNA. RefSeq lists it as uncharacterized. The record is from RefSeq and is a predicted model, not a curated record. NCBI's taxonomy places the organism in Eukaryota, Metazoa, Chordata, Actinopteri, Pleuronectiformes, Cynoglossidae. The transcript has 3 exons.
GUGACUGAAAAACAAAACAAGGAAGUGAAGGACGGCCAUGAACUUGGUUAAUGUUCUCCAGCAUAAUAUUAACCCCGCGGCAAGAAAAACACACCUGGCAGGAGAACCAAUGAAUCCUGAAAACCAAAAAUAACCUUUUGGUCUGGCGUUAACCUCUUAAUACCAUUACACUAUUGUUGAGGUUACAGCGUUAAGUACACACAAAUCCGCGUUCAAACUUUGUGCUUAGUCAUCAAAAAACGCGCACACUAAGUGCGCUCUAUUUCUUCAUUUUAAUAGGAAGCAGUAAGUGUCAUCAAAUAAAAAAAAAAGAUUUGUUUGCCAAAAGACAACAUAAGGGUGACGUGACAUGGGGUGAUCAGGACUGAAUGUUAACAAAGAUACCGAGUAAUUCUGGCAUUGGUCAUCACUGAUGACAGAUAUUUGCAGGAGAAAUGUUGGGUCAGAGGGUUGAAGAUUUCAUUUCUUGUUAGUGCUUUAAGACGUGUGUUGACAACCUUGACUGAGAAAUAUGCACCGCCACCCUCUGAAGAGAUGGAAACAACAGGGCUGAAAAGAUUGAAACACUCGUGUAAAAGCACGAGUGAUGGACUCUUAAAUGUCAUCUUUUAACAAGGCAGUUUUCUCCAUAUGGGAACAUGUUCAAAAUAUAGAUAUUUGUCUUCAAGUUAAACCUGUCUCCAAUAUUCUAUGCUUUAAUUGUUUUAAAUGUAUUAACCCUAAAAAUAUAUAGUGCACAAUAUGAAUUGUAAACAACAAAAAUAGUAUUACAAUUACAUCUGAUAUUAUUUAAAUAAUAUAAGUAAUUUUUAAAAAUAAAACAGUUUA